UAGAGUUUGAUCCUGGCUCAGAGUGAACGCUGGCGGUAGGCCUAACACAUGCAAGUCGAACGGCAGCACAGGAGAGCUUGCUCUCUGGGUGGCGAGUGGCGGACGGGUGAGGAAUACAUCGGAAUCUACUUUUUCGUGGGGGAUAACGUAGGGAAACUUACGCUAAUACCGCAUACGACCUACGGGUGAAAGCAGGGGAUCUUCGGACCUUGCGCGAUUGAAUGAGCCGAUGUCGGAUUAGCUAGUUGGCGGGGUAAAGGCCCACCAAGGCGACGAUCCGUAGCUGGUCUGAGAGGAUGAUCAGCCACACUGGAACUGAGACACGGUCCAGACUCCUACGGGAGGCAGCAGUGGGGAAUAUUGGACAAUGGGCGCAAGCCUGAUCCAGCCAUACCGCGUGGGUGAAGAAGGCCUUCGGGUUGUAAAGCCCUUUUGUUGGGAAAGAAAUCCAGCUGGCUAAUACCCGGUUGGGAUGACGGUACCCAAAGAAUAAGCACCGGCUAGCUUCGUGCCAGCAGCCGCGGUAA
This 527-nucleotide ribosomal RNA is filed under the name uncultured bacterium. Its description in RNAcentral is "bacterial SSU rRNA". It matches the Rfam family "Bacterial small subunit ribosomal RNA", at positions 1 to 523 of the family's 1533-position model. The record is from RNAcentral.